Molecule: long non-coding RNA, 444 nt
Filed under: Capra hircus (goat)
Lineage: Eukaryota; Metazoa; Chordata; Mammalia; Artiodactyla; Bovidae
Description: lncRNA (ENSCHIG00000005061.1)
Source: RNAcentral
UGCAAAACUCAACCUUUCUCGUCUUUGUCUUUUUUUAUGCAGGAGCUACCGUCCCUGCCGUACAGCCUGGUCGAGGGUCAGGACUGCACCUCUGAACAUUCAGCCUGCUUCUCCAGUGCCAACAACAGUCCGCAUGCCUCAACAUUUAUCUGAGUUGCUGAGAGGAAGAGGAAGAAGAGGAAAGAUGCUGAAAACUGACAACCACACAGCCCGAUUUUCUUGUGCCAGCUGGUCGCUGACCAGACAUUUCUUCUUUGUUCUAAGCCCCCUCAACGACCCCAUAAGGUAAGCACCAUCUCUGCCUUCACUGUGUUGGUGAGGAAACCAAAACCGGAGUCCAGUGAUGGACCCCAGGGCUUAGAGGCUGCAUCCACCCGCUGAGCCACUCCGUCGCCGGGGCACAGUCUUCUGGCUUCACCCCAAGCCCGUGAAACUGUCUCUCCC